GCGUUGGGAGUGCAGCGGUUCGAGCACGUGCCCCAGGAUAGGGUGAGAUGUGGGUUCGAGUUACACCUAACGCA
Non-coding RNA from Parelaphostrongylus tenuis, 74 nucleotides. NCBI's taxonomy places the organism in Eukaryota, Metazoa, Nematoda, Chromadorea, Rhabditida, Metastrongylidae. The record is from the annotation of a GenBank genome assembly.